UACGUACCGUACGAACGUUAUUCGGAAUUACUGGGCGUAAAGGGUUUGUAGGCGGCUUUGUAAGUCAGGUGUGAAAUCCCUCGGCUCAACCGAGGAAUAGCGCUUGAUACUGCAAGGCUUGAGGGAGACAGGGGUAAGCGGAACUGAUGGUGGAGCGGUGAAAUGCGUUGAUAUCAUCAGGAACACCGGUGGCGAAAGCGGCUUACUGGGUCUCUUCUGACGCUGAGGAACGAAAGCUAGGGUAGCGAACGGG
This 253-nucleotide ribosomal RNA is filed under the name uncultured bacterium. RNAcentral's name for it is "partial 16S ribosomal RNA". It matches the Rfam family "Bacterial small subunit ribosomal RNA", at positions 524 to 776 of the family's 1533-position model. The record is from RNAcentral.